CCAAAGGCUCUUUUAAGAGCCACCCACUUGUUCUUAUAAAAGAGCU
Non-coding RNA from Calypte anna (Anna's hummingbird), 46 nucleotides. The record is from Rfam. NCBI's taxonomy places the organism in Eukaryota, Metazoa, Chordata, Aves, Apodiformes, Trochilidae.